GACGAACCGUGCGAACGUUGUUCGGAAUCACUGGGCUUAAAGGGCGCGUAGGCGGCUGCGCAAGUCCGGGGUGAAAGCCCCCAGCUCAACUGGGGAAGUGCCUUGGAAACUGUGCAGCUCGAGCGAGGUAGGGGUCGUGGGAACUUCCGGUGGAGCGGUGAAAUGCGUUGAUAUCGGAAGGAACGCCGGUGGCGAAAGCGCACGACUGGACCUCUUCUGACGCUGAGGCGCGAAAGCCAGGGGAGCGAACGGG
This 253-nucleotide ribosomal RNA is filed under the name uncultured bacterium. RNAcentral describes it as "partial 16S ribosomal RNA". It matches the Rfam family "Bacterial small subunit ribosomal RNA", at positions 524 to 776 of the family's 1533-position model. The record is from RNAcentral.